UACAGAGGUCUCAAGCGUUGUUCGGAUUCAUUGGGCGUAAAGGGUGCGUAGGUGGCGCCGUAAGUCAGGUGUGAAAUUUCGGAGCUUAACUCCGAAACUGCAUUUGAUACUGCGGUGCUUGAGGACUGGAGAGGAGACUGGAAUUUACGGUGUAGCAGUGAAAUGCGUAGAGAUCGUAAGGAAGACCAGUGGCGAAGGCGGGUCUCUGGACAUUUCCUGACGCUGAGGCACGAAAGCCAGGGGAGCAAACGGG
This 253-nucleotide ribosomal RNA is filed under the name uncultured bacterium. RNAcentral describes it as "partial 16S ribosomal RNA". It matches the Rfam family "Bacterial small subunit ribosomal RNA", at positions 524 to 776 of the family's 1533-position model. The record is from RNAcentral.